RNAcentral lists this long non-coding RNA (954 nucleotides) under Lytechinus variegatus (green sea urchin). RNAcentral's name for it is "uncharacterized LOC121416006". Lineage: Eukaryota; Metazoa; Echinodermata; Echinoidea; Temnopleuroida; Toxopneustidae. The record is from RNAcentral.
ACGUGAUUCGUGUAUUUGAAAAUGCAACCGUUAAUGAACGAAGUCGAGUCAAAGUGCUGGAUCGUGCAAUCGACGUCCGUAAUAACUUGUUCUCAAUUGACUGCCUGCCCUUUUUUGACAUGUCAAGACACUUCAGGAGUAUCUGAACGAGUUCACCGACUUGAAGUUCGGGGAAGUGGAGCGGUAAUGAAGAGGAGAAAAGCCUGCUCGAACAUCACUUGAGUAACAUCAUCUGGGACAGUUGGAACAACUCUACGCUCCACAUUUAAUUCAGUGUCAAUCCUGAUUUCAUCAACAUGGACUGAUGGAACAAAAGUCAUGCAAAUAUGCUGUUUUGUGUAGUGGUGUCACAAGAUAAAGUACUUCCUUGAUGAGUUCAGAGAUGGAUGAUCAAUCAAACAUAGAAUAUGGUUUCUAGCAACCCUGCAGGUAUCCUUCAUAUGCCAAUGAGAGUGCAUAAAGCUUGCACAUAUUAUAAACGGUAUCUGUGCUAUCCCCAAUAUAUAACAUUAGACCAAUUAUAUUGCCAAAUUACAAUGGAGCCUAUCAAAGAAAAGGUAGACUCCAGCAAAACGUAAUUUGAAUAUUAAAAUAGAGAAAAACCAAAGAAGCACUGAUAAUUUCAUCAAAAUCUGACUAAGAUAAGAAGGUUGUGAAAUUUUGAGUUUAAAAAACAUUAAUAUGCAAAACACAGGUCAAAUGAGGAUCAAAGACAUUCUUUUGUAUUUUAUCAUAUGAAACAUAGAACAGAUCCAUUGUCUUUGGCAGAGAGUAAUUGGUCUACCGGUAAUCUUAUACUUAAUGGGAUAAUAAUUUAAGAGAUGCUUUACAUAGGAAUAAGUAAUUAUGUAGUACAAUACAUUUUUCAGGAGCAACUUGGUCUGCUCAUCAUUAGAGUGCAGUGGGCUGAUUCAUAAAUCUGUUAGUAAGUUAAGAUUGAUUUUAAGAACGACU